CCCUUAGAUGUCCGGGGCCGCACGCGCGCUACACUGAAGGAAUCAGCGUGGCUUUCUCCCUGACCCGAAAGGGUUGGGAAACCCGUUGAAUCUCCUUCGUGAUAGGGAUUGGGGCUUGAAAUUGUUCCCCAUGAACGAGGAAUUCCCAGUAAGCGAGAGUCAUAAGCUCGCGUUGAUUACGUCCCUGCCCUUUGUACACACCGCCCGUCGCUACUACCGAUUGAACGGUUUAGUGAGGGCCUCGGAUUGGUCUCGGCCCGCUCUUUACCGGGCGGCGCCGUUGGUCGAGAAGACGCUCGAACUUGAUCGUUUAGAGGAAGUAAAAGUCGUAACA
RNAcentral lists this ribosomal RNA (334 nucleotides) under uncultured eukaryote. RNAcentral's name for it is "partial 18S ribosomal RNA". It matches the Rfam family "Eukaryotic small subunit ribosomal RNA", at positions 1470 to 1796 of the family's 1831-position model. The record is from RNAcentral.